Molecule: ribosomal RNA, 862 nt
Filed under: uncultured bacterium
Lineage: Bacteria
Description: bacterial SSU rRNA
Rfam family: Bacterial small subunit ribosomal RNA
Source: RNAcentral
AAUUCCCGGGUUAAGCGGGGAAAGGGGUAAAUUUUGGGGAGGAACACCUUGGGGGGAAAGCGGCGCACUUGACCACCAAUUACGUUGAAGGCGCGAAAGUUAGGGGGGGCAACCAGGAUUAGAUACCCCUGGUAUUCCUAGCCCUUAAACUAUGGAUGCUUGGUGUGUCGGGUACCCAAUCCCCACGUUGCGGCAGCUAACGCGUUAAGCAUCCCGCCUGGGGAGUACGUUCGCAAGGCUGAAAACUCAAAGGAAUUGACGGGGGGCCCGCACAAGCGGUGGAGCAUGUGGUUCAAUUCGACGCAACGCGAAGAACCUUACCUGGGCUCGAAGCGCAGUGGACCGGGGUGGAACAUCCCUUUCCGCAAGGACUGCUGCGGAGGUGCUGCAUGGCUGUCGUCAGCUCGUGUCGUGAGAUGUUGGGUUAAGUCCCGCAACGAGCGCAACCCUUAUCGUUAGUUGCCAUCAGGUCAAGCUGGGCACUCUAGCGAAACCGCCUCGGAUAACGGGGAGGAAGGUGGGGAUGACGUCAAGUCCUCAUGGCCUUUAUGUCCAGGGCUACACACGUGCUACAAUGGUCGGUACAAACCGUCGCAAACCCGCGAGGGGGAGCUAAUCGGAAAAAGCCGGCCUCAGUUCGGAUUGGAGUCUGCAACUCGACUCCAUGAAGCUGGAAUCGCUAGUAAUCGCAGAUCAGAACGCUGCGGUGAAUACGUUCCCGGGCCUUGUACACACCGCCCGUCACAUCACGAAAGUGGGUGAUACUAGAAGCCGUCCCGCCAACCCGCAAGGGGGGCAGACGUCCAAGGUAUGACUCAUGAUUGGGGUGAAGUCGUAACAAGUAAAUCGAAUUCCCGCGGCC